AAGAGUUUGAUCCUGGCUCAGGAUGAACGCUAGCGGCAGGCUUAAUACAUGCAAGUCGAGGGGCAGCAGGGGUAGCAAUACCCGCUGGCGACCGGCAAACGGGUGCGGAACACGUACGCAACCUUCCUUUAACUGGAGAAUAGCCCCUCGAAAGAGGGAUUAAUACUCCGUAACAUAUUGAUAAGGCAUCUUAUUAAUAUUAUAGUCUUCGGGCGGUUAAAGAUGGGCGUGCGCCUGAUUAGAUAGUUGGUGAGGUAACGGCUCACCAAGUCUGCGAUCAGUAACUGGUGUGAGAGCACGACCAGUCACACGGGCACUGAGACACGGGCCCGACUCCUACGGGAGGCAGCAGUAAGGAAUAUUGGUCAAUGGACGCAAGUCCGAACCAGCCAUGCCGCGUGGAGGAUUAAGGCCCUCUGGGUUGUAAACUCCUUUUAUCUGGGAAGAAAUGCCAUUUUUCUAAAUGGUUUGACGGUACCAGAGGAAUAAGCACCGGCUAACUCCGUGCCAGCAGCCGCGGUAAUACGGAGGGUGCAAGCGUUAUCCGGAUUCACUGGGUUUAAAGGGUGCGUAGGCGGGGCAGGUAAGUCCGUGGUGAAAUCUCUGAGCUUAACUCAGAAACUGCCAUGGAUACUAUUUGUCUUGAAUACUGUGGAGGUAAGCGGAAUAUGUCAUGUAGCGGUGAAAUGCUUAGAUAUGACAUGGAACACCCAAUUGCCGAAGGCAGCUUACUACAACAGUUAUUGACGCUGAGGCACGAAAAGCGUGGGGU
RNAcentral lists this ribosomal RNA (772 nucleotides) under uncultured Bacteroidota bacterium. RNAcentral describes it as "bacterial SSU rRNA". It matches the Rfam family "Bacterial small subunit ribosomal RNA", at positions 1 to 767 of the family's 1533-position model. The record is from RNAcentral. Lineage: Bacteria; Pseudomonadati; Bacteroidota.